Molecule: ribosomal RNA, 66 nt
Filed under: Umbilicaria vellea
Lineage: Eukaryota; Fungi; Ascomycota; Lecanoromycetes; Umbilicariales; Umbilicariaceae
Description: partial 18S ribosomal RNA
Source: RNAcentral
CCCGGGAGGCCCCCGAUUCUCCAGGUAAGGUUCCUUUCGGGAGGUGAACCGGCGGAGGGAUCAUUA